UGUCUCCUUUUUCUAAUCAGUGAAACUAAUCUUCCCGUGAAGAAGCGGGAAUACCCCUAUAAGACGAGAAGACCCCAUGGAGCUUCAAACCCAACUACACCCCUAACUUCUAUAACCCCCACCCCACGGGACCCUGUAUAGUUGGUUUUAGGUUGGGGCAACCACGGAGCACAACAAAGCCUCCACAAUGAAUGGGACCACCCCCCUUAUCUAAGAGCCACACCCCUAGGAAUUAAAACACUAAUAUAAAAUGAUCCAUUAUUUGAUCAAUGAACCAAGUUACCCUGGGGAUAACAGCGCAAUCCAUUUCAAGAGCCCCUAUCGACAAAUGGG
Molecule: ribosomal RNA, 333 nt
Filed under: Mantidactylus paidroa
Lineage: Eukaryota; Metazoa; Chordata; Amphibia; Anura; Mantellidae
Description: partial 16S ribosomal RNA
Rfam family: Bacterial large subunit ribosomal RNA
Source: RNAcentral